RNAcentral lists this long non-coding RNA (470 nucleotides) under Brassica napus (rape). RNAcentral describes it as "long non-coding RNA (BNAP_LNC009694)". The record is from RNAcentral. Lineage: Eukaryota; Viridiplantae; Streptophyta; Magnoliopsida; Brassicales; Brassicaceae.
AUUAACUUUGACAAAAAAAAAAACACAUGGUUAACUAAUCUAAACUUAAAACAUCAACUCUAAACCCUAAACCAUGAAACAUCAACCCUAAACCUUAAACCCCGAAACAUCAACUCUAAACCUUAAACGUAAACCCUAAACCCUAAAUCUAAAUUUAAAACAACAACUCUAAACCCUAAAUCAUCAACUCUAAACCUUAAACCAUGAAACAUCAACUCUAAAACCUAAACCCCGAAACAUCAAUUCUAAACACUAAACUCUAAACCUUCGAAUCUAAACCUUAAAAUAUCAACCCUAAACCCUAAAACCCUAAACCUUCAAAUCUAAACCCUAAAACAUCAACUCUAAACCCUAAACGUAAACCCUAAACCCUAAACCUUCAAAUCUAAACCCUAAAACAUUAACUCUAGGGUUUUAGGGUUUAGGGUUUAGAGUUUAGGGUUUAGGGUUUAGGGUUUAGAGUUUAUGGU